UCGAGAAUCUUCGGCAAUGAGCGCAAGCUUGACCGAGCGACGCCGCGUGCGGGAUGAAGGCCUUCGGGUUGUAAACCGCUUUGGUCCGAAAGAAAGGGUAAAACUUGAUCGAUCGGAGAAACAAGGACGGGCUAAGUUCGUGCCAGCAGCCGCGGUAAGACGAACCGUCCAAACGUUAUUCGGAAUCACUGGGCUUAAAGGGCGCGUAGGCGGCCGAGCGGGUCGUGGGUGAAAUCCCCCAGCUUAACUG
Molecule: ribosomal RNA, 250 nt
Filed under: uncultured bacterium
Lineage: Bacteria
Description: partial 16S ribosomal RNA
Rfam family: Bacterial small subunit ribosomal RNA
Source: RNAcentral